Molecule: ribosomal RNA, 469 nt
Filed under: uncultured Alphaproteobacteria bacterium
Lineage: Bacteria; Pseudomonadati; Pseudomonadota; Alphaproteobacteria
Description: bacterial SSU rRNA
Rfam family: Bacterial small subunit ribosomal RNA
Source: RNAcentral
GAGUUUGAUCAUGGCUCAGAACGAACGCUGGCGGCAGGCCUAAUACAUGCAAGUCGAACGCCGUAGCAAUACGGAGUGGCAGACGGGUGAGUAACGCGUGGGAAUCUGCCCUUGGGUUCGGAAUAACAGUUAGAAAUGACUGCUAAUACCGGAUGAUGUCUUCGGACCAAAGAUUUAUCGCCCAGGGAUGAGCCCGCGUAGGAUUAGCUUGUUGGUGAGGUAAGAGCUCACCAAGGCGACGAUCCUUAGCUGGUCUGAGAGGAUGAUCAGCCACACUGGGACUGAGACACGGCCCAGACUCCUACGGGAGGCAGCAGUGGGGAAUAUUGGACAAUGGGCGAAAGCCUGAUCCAGCAAUGCCGCGUGAGUGAUGAAGGCCUUAGGGUUGUAAAGCUCUUUUACCCGGGAUGAUAAUGACAGUACCGGGAGAAUAAGCCCCGGCUAACUCCGUGCCAGCAGCCGCCGUAAC